RNAcentral lists this ribosomal RNA (433 nucleotides) under uncultured bacterium. Its description in RNAcentral is "partial 16S ribosomal RNA". It matches the Rfam family "Bacterial small subunit ribosomal RNA", at positions 29 to 507 of the family's 1533-position model. The record is from RNAcentral.
AGCGAACGCUGGCGGCAUGCCUAACACAUGCGAGUCGAACGAGACCUUCGGGUCUAGUGGCGCACGGGUGCGUAACGCGUGGGAACCUGCCCUUAGGUUCGGAAUAACUCCCCGAAAGGGGUGCUAAUACCGGAUAAUGUCUUCGGACCAAAGAUUUAUCGCCUUUGGAUGGGCCCGCGUUGGAUUAGCUAGUUGGUAGGGUAAAAGCCUACCAAGGCGACGAUCCAUAGCUGGUCUGAGAGGAUGAUCAGCCACACUGGGACUGAGACACGGCCCAGACUCCUACGGGAGGCAGCAGUGGGGAAUAUUGGACAAUGGGCGAAAGCCUGAUCCAGCAAUGCCGCGUGAGUGAUGAAGGCCUUAGGGUUGUAAAGCUCUUUUACCCGGGAUGAUAAUGACAGUACCGGGAGAAUAAGCUCCGGCUAACUCCGUG